AGACAGGAGAAGACUGGGCUGAGAACACAAUGGAAAAGGAAUUCCCUGCAACCCUUCAGGGAAGCUGAAGUUUCUCUGAAAGAGUCCCAAAAAUCAAGAUGUCAAGUUUACCAGAGAUGCCAUGAAAGCUGAGCGCGUGCUUCAGAUCAUGCACGGCAGUGGAAAAUAUGAAUAACACCUUUGUUUGUUGGCUGAUACAGAAUGGAGGCAUAUUUCCCUGCAGAAGAUUUAUGAUCCAUAAGCCCAUUACAUUUGGAUUGCAGCUAGAAGAUU
Non-coding RNA from Lonchura striata (white-rumped munia), 273 nucleotides. The record is from RefSeq and is a predicted model, not a curated record. NCBI's taxonomy places the organism in Eukaryota, Metazoa, Chordata, Aves, Passeriformes, Estrildidae.